CCAGAUUGCAUAUAUAGAUGGGUAGACCCGAUUCGACCUGGUUGUGUCUGAUACACCGCAAAUUGUGAAACCCUCCUGCGUCGAACUACACUCAUCGUUUUUUUUUUUCUGUUCGAGUUCGAGAUUUCACCUCUUGUUUCUGUAAUUUCCGGAAUUCAGAAUUAGGGUUCUGUAACUUGAUGCUGAAGUUCUAUUUCGUUCUUCUCACUCUUGAUUCACUUUUGAUUUUCCUGAUUUAGGGUUUAGGUAGGACUCCAUUGUUUUUUUUUUUCCUCCUGUUCAUUAUGUACUGUGAUCGAGUGGAAGCUGAUACUGGAAUCAUUGGGUCUCGAGAAAUAUUCCACCUCAUUUCAAGUGGAAGAGGUUGAUAUGGAUGCUCUGAUGCAUAUGACAGAUGAUGACCUCAAAGCUCUGCUCAUACCAAUGGGACCUAGGAAAAAGAUACUUCUUGCUUUGGGAUCUAAACGUGGAUAGUCCAGCUUCGAGCUUUAGGUGCAUGAUGAUACAUCUGGGAUGGUGUCAGAAAGAUGCUGCAUUUGACUUUUCUUUCUCAUCUGUAUCUCGAGAGAGAAAAAGUUGUUGAGAGUUUUUAGAUUAAACGGUUGUAACCUUUUAACAUAGAGAGUGAGACAAGAA
Molecule: long non-coding RNA, 636 nt
Organism: Camelina sativa (false flax)
Lineage: Eukaryota; Viridiplantae; Streptophyta; Magnoliopsida; Brassicales; Brassicaceae
Source: RefSeq, a predicted model, not a curated record